AUGAGAGAGAGAGAAGAGAGAGUGCAGCCUGUAGCCCAGCCGGCCUCUAAGCCCAAGGCCCAGCCGCCCCCACCUUUCCCCGUAACCCUAGCCCGAACCACUCUCCCUCCCAUCGAUCCCCAUCUCUUCCUCUGGCCGCCGCACUCAUCUCUCUCCCUCGAUCCCCCUCCUCUUUUCUUCCUCGUCGCGCCGAACCAGGGAGACGCCGCCCCCGCGCCCUGUCUUCCUCCUCGCCCUGCGCGCCCGACGCCGCCCCGCGUCCUCAACUCCGGCGGCCACGUGCCCCUCCUCGACCUCGCCGCCGACAGCAGCAGCUGCUGCACCCUCGCGCCGAGCGCCGCCCCUUCGCGCCCCUCUGUCGUUCGCCUCGGGCUCCUCCGACCUUCCUCGCGCCCGAUCUGCUCCAAACCGCGCCACCGGCCAAGUUCCUCGACCUCCGCGUCGUCCCGGAGUCCCUCGCCCACCGCUGCACGGUCCAGUCGUUGCUUCUCCGAGCUGCGUCUGUACGUCGACGCCAAGUUUCGUUGCCUACUCGCCGCCAUCGCCUUAGCAGGAGCUCCGCCUCCCCUGCUUCAUGCCAAGGCCAACACCGGCCACUUCUUCCAACCGCUGCUCCGCCUCCAUCGAGCUCCAUCCCCUGCUGUCACUGGAUCGCCAAGAUGCAACCCCGACCCCGUCGGCCCCUUCCUCGUACAACGCUCAAGCCUUCAUGCCCGAGGCCUUCGUCAUCUCUCUGUGUUGCGCUGCGUGCGACCCUGUCAGCCACAUGGUCGCCACCUCUGCAGCCUCCUGCUGCUGUUUCGUGCACCUUCGCUGCCGGUUGGCGUUGACGCAAGACCAACGGCUUCAUCGUCGUUCGCCUACAUGCCCGAACCUCGAAGAUCCCGUGGAACGCCAAGUACCACUAUCCAUCUCCGAGGAUUUCUCCAAGUACCGCACCGAAACCGCCAAGUACCACUACGAUUGCGGACGCCAAGACCGGACCAACAAGUACCCCGAUGA
RNAcentral lists this ribosomal RNA (1002 nucleotides) under Triticum aestivum (bread wheat). Its description in RNAcentral is "partial small subunit ribosomal RNA". Lineage: Eukaryota; Viridiplantae; Streptophyta; Magnoliopsida; Poales; Poaceae. The record is from RNAcentral.